Long non-coding RNA from Aphis gossypii (cotton aphid), 310 nucleotides. RefSeq lists it as uncharacterized. The record is from RefSeq and is a predicted model, not a curated record. The transcript has 3 exons. Lineage: Eukaryota; Metazoa; Arthropoda; Insecta; Hemiptera; Aphididae.
ACUACAAGCCAUAGUACUCGGAAAAUAAUUUUUAGUCAAACACGAUUUAACCAGUAUUGGCAAGAUUGAAUUAUAACCACGUACAUAUAAUCUACUGUGAGAACAUUUUUUACCACUCGCCCAAGAUACUAAAUAAAAAAUAUUGUGUAGAUAUUUACGCUCAAUUGAUCGACACAGAAUAUGAGGUCAUUUGGUUAUAAAUUAUGAACUGUUGAAGAAAAAUUAAUUUACGGCAGAGAAUAUUUGACCAGAAUUUUGGAAACAUGAAAUUAUACUGACGUAAUUACCAGCUGUCACCAACAAUUACCUA